RNAcentral lists this unclassified non-coding RNA (373 nucleotides) under soil metagenome. RNAcentral's name for it is "partial contains 5.8S ribosomal RNA, internal transcribed spacer 2, and large subunit ribosomal RNA". The stretch from base 1 to 120 matches the Rfam family "5.8S ribosomal RNA", at positions 35 to 154 of the family's 154-position model. The record is from RNAcentral.
GAUGAAGAACGUAGCGAAAUGCGAUAAGUAGUGUGAAUUGCAGAAUUCAGUGAAUCAUCGAAUCUUUGAACGCACAUUGCGCCCGCCAGUAUUCUGGCGGGCAUGCCUGUUCGAGCGUCAUUACAACCCUCAAGCCCCCCGGCUUGGUGUUGGGGACCGGCCACCGGUGCCCUGCUGCUUCCGCGGCAGGCGCGCCCGGCCGCCCCCGAAAUGAAUUGGCGGCCCCGUCGCGGCCUCCCUCUGCGUAGUAGCACACAUCUCGCAGCUGGAGCGCGGCGCGGCCACUGCCGUAAAACGCACCAACUUUUUUUUACAGUUGACCUCGAAUCAGGUAGGAAUACCCGCUGAACUUAAGCAUAUCAAUAAGCGGAGA